This is a non-coding RNA of Manis javanica (Malayan pangolin), 2996 nucleotides long. Lineage: Eukaryota; Metazoa; Chordata; Mammalia; Pholidota; Manidae. The record is from RefSeq and is a predicted model, not a curated record.
GGAAAAGGAAUAUUUCAUACAAGAGCCUAAAAAAAUCAUCAGCUCCAUUAUACUUUUAUUGAAUAAUUACAAAGUUUCAUCAGAAGUAUUUUGCAAAACUAUGAUGGAAUAAAUUAUUUCUGUGUGUGUAUUGAUGAGAUCAUGGCCCUUCUGUAAAGUUGAGUUUCAGAAGCAUUCAAGUAGUUAACACUGGGGAGUCAGGGAAUUGGGGCUUGGGAAAGUCGUAUCCAGAAUUUUUUUCUGGAAUUUACCCAGGAACAGAGCGGUCCUAUGAGGGAAGGUCAGCCCUGGUUUCCCACUCUGCAGCCCACUGCCUUUCCCUGUCAUCGGAGUCAGUGUACAUUACAUUGGCUCUUUUUAAAAUCGUGUGCCAGGCAGUAUAAUUCUGAUGAGAAUCUGAGCAGUAUUAUUCUCUAUGAACUGUGAAUGUGACACUUUUAUAAUUCCAGUAGAAUUAUUUUUCCCUUGGGAAAUCCUAGACAUGCAGUAUGGUACACUGAAUUAGGGGAGAGGUAAGGGGGAAAAAAAGCUAUAAAAGGCGUACCUUAUUAAAACGAAGCGGGCUUUAUUCUUGCCUGUGUAACCUUCAGAUACAGUGACUGAUUGUUAGGCAGACGCACUUAUUUUUCUUCAGCAUAAAUUAUCUUCUCUCUAGUUUAAUGAGUAAUGAAGAACAACAGUCCUCAUCGUCUGAUUGGGUCAAACCUAAUAAAGGUAUAGUUAAUUCUGAGAGUGAUAUUUUCAUGUCCUUGUGACAGUACCCAUUCUGUGUGGUCAGCCCCAAGAAUAAACACAAAGGUGCUCUGUUUGAGAAAUUAGGUGACCACCAACUGCUUUCAUUGCUCUUCUUUUAAACGGUCCAUUUUAUAUUAAGAUGGACAGAAACUACUGUUCUGCUAUUUGUCAGGCUGAUUGUCUUGUGCUGGUUCCUGGGUGGGCCCAGACUGCUGACACGUCCCAUCACCAGAUGGGAAGAACUUUAUACAUCCAUCAGCCCUGGCAAGCAUCCUGCUGAUUGACACGGUCAAACAGGGGGCUCCCUGCUCCUUUCUGCAGCCAUAUUUUUGCAGGUCCACGCGGACAGGAAAACAAACCUCUGGUCCAGCAAUAUGUAGGUGAGCUCCAGACUAUAUGAUUCACUUCCUGAAAUCUCCCCUUUGGGUGUCUCGUUUGUGAGUGGCAGGUGCUCACCUUUCCUUGCUUCAGCCUUCCUGCUGCAGCCGGAGGCACCCCAGGGCAGCAGGCAACCGUGGGUGCUGGUGAGCUGGGGUGAGUGUGCAGUGUUCUUUGGGAUGUGUUACAAAAAUGUGGCCUGUCACAGAGUCCAGAGCCAUUAGAAACUGUAGGCGGACUCCGUUUAAUGAAACUUUCAUUUCUUUAUUUUGAUUGCUUCUCAGAGACAGGUCACAAAGAAGGAAAAGGUCCUCCUGUAAAAUACACGCACAAAUCUGUCACACAGAGAUGACUUCCUGUCCGCUCUGGGGUCACAAUUACUUCUGAAUUCUUUCUGUCUCUAUGUGGCUUAUAUGUGUGUUUAUAACGAGCCGGUGGUAAAGGCAUGGCCAGUGGUGUCCCCAGCACGUACAGAUGUCGCUUCCCAUGAAAAGGAAGCGAACACCUUCUUACCGACACACACAGACUUGCUGGGUCCCAUCAGCAUCCAGUGAGAUGCCGAUAAGUGGAGAGCUACCUGACAUAAAGUGACGCCAAAAAGUUCAACCAAAAUGAUGAACAAAGACACAUAAGGAGAAAGAACCACGAGGCAGGGGUGGCGUGGGAACCUCCGCGGGAACCUGCAUUGGCAGCUGAGUGCCUCCUGGUGGUGGGUGGGGUCUCCGCAGGGUGUGCAGCCCAGGCCCCUUGCUGCUCUCCAGGCCGCCAGAGCCUUCUAUUCAUCCUGGUCCUCUCCUGCCCCGGAACAGACCUGCCUCUUGGGCCUGCGCCACCUGCCCCAGGGGCUCACCUCUGGCCUGCCCAGCUCCUCUUUGCCGCCUGCCCACGAGCCGGCGUCCUCAUCUUCCUCCAGGCCUGCCCCCUCCCAGGUCACUGUCCCGGGGGCAUUUCUGUGUGGGGGAUUUCUCCUGUUGUUUCUCUGUGGGCCCAGGACACCUGCCGUGACUUCGGCACCGCCCUCCCUGCCUUCCUGUCUGCAGUUUCACUACAUGUUGCAGCCCUCUGUGGAUGAGGGCAGGCAGGUGCCUGAAGCCCACGUGUCCGCAGUGAGUGGGAGCUGAUGUCUCCAUGGGAGUGGCCGGAGAGCUCAUUCUGGGAAAAGUAGAAGUUGGGGUCACGUGAGGCACACUGAGGUCUCAUUGGUGCCAGCUGUGGAGUCGUACUGGCCCUUGGCCACGAGAAUGCACAGAAAAGGUGUCCUCUUCUGGCUGCAGGAGAGGGGACCAGGCAUUUGGUCCCCAAAAUAGAUAACGGAAGAGGAGCUGCAUAAUGGCAUCAUGAUGAGGACUGCAGGCAAGACAGGGACCCAGAGAAAAUGAGUCCUCCACAGAAGACUCCCGUGGUUAUGAACCCACAGUGAGCAGGUGUGUUGGCAAUUGCUGUCUGCACGUCUGGCUUCUCCGGCAGACCAAAGCUCUUGGCCGAUGAGCAUUUGGCUUGGCAUGCUGGGGCACCAACACCUUAAGAACAAAUGAAUAUGGGAACUGGAGGUCAGAAAGUCACUCUGAAAAUGCACCUGCCACUGGUGUCCAAGGAGAUGCAGACACCUGGUGCCGUAGCCUAUCUUUCCUGGAUGCCUCGGAGCUGGCUGAACAGUUCCAGUUCGUUGGUGGCUGCAUGUGCCCAGGCAAGGCUCCUGACCUGCCUGCUUUGGUGUGAGAAACCCUUUGGCUGUUAAAAAGGUGUUAAUCAUUUGAGAAACUCACUAACUGAACUUCAUAGUGAGGAGGUGUGCCUCCUGUUAAUAGAUAAUAAAACAGAGUGGAAUAAUUUGAAUUUUUUGUAAUGGAUGUGAUUAUGAAUGAUUUCCCUAUUUACUCGUA